This 390-nucleotide ribosomal RNA is filed under the name Neopontonides chacei. RNAcentral's name for it is "partial large subunit ribosomal RNA". The record is from RNAcentral. Lineage: Eukaryota; Metazoa; Arthropoda; Malacostraca; Decapoda; Palaemonidae.
AUGAACGGUCGGAUGAGGGACACUCUUUCUUUUUAAUAUAUUGAAUUUAACUUUUAAGUGAAAAGGCUUAAAUUUACUAAAGGGACGAWAAGACCCUAUAAAACUUAAUAUGGUAAAAUUAAUUUUUGUAUUAUAUUCAAUCUCUUUUUAAUUUUUUCAUAUUUCAUUGGGGCGAUGAUUAUAUAAGCUUAACUGUCUUUUUAAAAAAAUAAUUAUAAUUAGUUUUUGAUCCUUAAUUUAGAUUAUAAGAUUAAGUUACUUUAGGGAUAACAGCGUUAUUUUCCUUGAGAGUUCUUAUCGACAGGAGUAGUUGCGACCUCGAUGUUGAAUUAAAAUUUACUUAUAGGUGUAGCCGCUUAUAUAGUUGGUCUGUUCGACCUUUAAAUUUUU